ACCCAAAGUCAUUCCCUCUCCAAGGGGCCACUUCUCAGGAACCAGCAACUUGGAAGUAAACCUGGCACGCCUAAGGUCUUUGGAGACCAUGGGAUACAUAUUUCCUUUGACUGACUAUAUAA
RNAcentral lists this small nucleolar RNA (122 nucleotides) under Jaculus jaculus (lesser Egyptian jerboa). RNAcentral describes it as "Small nucleolar RNA SNORA67 (ENSJJAG00000006065.1)". It matches the Rfam family "Small nucleolar RNA SNORA67". From Rfam's summary of the family: U67 belongs to the H/ACA class of snoRNAs which are thought to guide the sites of modification of uridines to pseudouridines. Lineage: Eukaryota; Metazoa; Chordata; Mammalia; Rodentia; Dipodidae. The record is from Rfam by way of RNAcentral.